This 73-nucleotide transfer RNA is filed under the name Ovis aries (sheep). It matches the Rfam family "tRNA". Rfam says of the family: Transfer RNA (tRNA) molecules are approximately 80 nucleotides in length. Their secondary structure includes four short double-helical elements and three loops (D, anti-codon, and T loops). The record is from Rfam by way of RNAcentral. Lineage: Eukaryota; Metazoa; Chordata; Mammalia; Artiodactyla; Bovidae.
UCCCUGGUGGUUCAGUAGGUAAGACUCUGCGCUCCCAAUGCAGAGGGCUUGAGUUUGAUUCCUGGUCAGGGAA